CAAAACGUAGCUUAACUAAAGCAUCUCGCUUACACCGAGAACAUACCUGUUUAACUCAGGUCGCUUUGA
This 69-nucleotide transfer RNA is filed under the name Scinax fuscovarius (snouted treefrog). RNAcentral's name for it is "tRNA-Val". It matches the Rfam family "tRNA". Rfam says of the family: Transfer RNA (tRNA) molecules are approximately 80 nucleotides in length. Their secondary structure includes four short double-helical elements and three loops (D, anti-codon, and T loops). The record is from RNAcentral. Lineage: Eukaryota; Metazoa; Chordata; Amphibia; Anura; Hylidae.